Molecule: non-coding RNA, 30 nt
Filed under: Mus musculus (house mouse)
Lineage: Eukaryota; Metazoa; Chordata; Mammalia; Rodentia; Muridae
Source: RNAcentral
CAUGUUAUCAAGUGAUUAAGGCAGGGCUAA